GUUAAAAAGCUCGUAGUUGGAUUUCUGUCAGUGAGUUGCAGUCCGCCCACAGCGGUUGGUACUUGCUACGCCACUGGCAUCUUCCUGGGGAAUGUGUCUGCUCUUUAUUGAGUGGCGCACAAUCCAGGACUUUUACUUUGAAGAAAUGAGAGUGUUUCAAGCAGGCAUGCGCCGUGAAUACGUUAGCAUGGGAUAAUAGCAUCGGACCUCGUUCCAAAGCUGUUGGUUUCUUGGACCGAGGUAAAGGUGAAUAGGGAUUGUUGGGGGCAUUCGUAUUUGACUGUCAGAGGUGAAAUUCUUGGAUUUGUUGAAGACGGACUACUGCGAAAGCAUCUGCCAAAGAUGUUCUCAUUGAUCAAGAACGAAAGUUAGGUGAUCGAAGACGAUCAGAUACCGUCCUAGUCUUAACCAUAAACUAUGCCGACUGGAGAUCGGGGGUCGUUAAUUACGUGACGCCCUCUGCAUCUUGAGAGAAAUCAAAGUCUUUGGGUUCCGGGGGGAGUAUGGUCGCAAGGCUGAAACUUAAAGGAAUUGACGGAAGGGCACCACCAGGAGUGGAGCCUGCGGCUUAAUUUGACUCAACACGGGGAAACUUACCAGGUCCAGACAUAGUAAGGAUUGACAGACUGAUAGCUCUUUCGAGAUUCUAUGGGUGGUGGUGCAUGGCCGUUCUUAGUUGGUGGAGUGAUUUGUCUGGUUAAUUCCGUUAAC
RNAcentral lists this ribosomal RNA (711 nucleotides) under uncultured marine alveolate. RNAcentral describes it as "SSU rRNA". It matches the Rfam family "Eukaryotic small subunit ribosomal RNA", at positions 618 to 1332 of the family's 1831-position model. The record is from RNAcentral.